This 421-nucleotide ribosomal RNA is filed under the name uncultured bacterium. RNAcentral's name for it is "bacterial SSU rRNA". It matches the Rfam family "Bacterial small subunit ribosomal RNA", at positions 356 to 774 of the family's 1533-position model. The record is from RNAcentral.
AAGGAAUAUUGGACAAUGGAGGCAACUCUGAUCCAGCCAUGCCGCGUGAAGGAAUAAGGCCCUAUGGGUUGUAAACUUCUUUUAGACGGGACAAAACCCCUUUACGUGUAAAGGGUUGAUGGUACUGUCAGAAUAAGCAUCGGCUAACUUCGUGCCAGCAGCCGCGGUAAUACGAAGGAUGCAAGCGUUAUCCGGAAUUAUUGGGUUUAAAGGGUGCGUAGGCGGACUAAUAAGUCAGUGGUGAAAGCCUGCAGCUUAACUGCAGAAUUGCCAUUGAUACUGUUAGUCUUGAGUACAGUUGAGGUAGGCGGAAUGUGUCAUGUAGCGGUGAAAUGCUUAGAUAUGACACAGAACACCCAUUGCGAAGGCAGCUUGCUAAGCUGUAACUGACGCUGAGGCACGAAAGCGUGGGGAGCAAACA